This 97-nucleotide ribosomal RNA is filed under the name uncultured bacterium. RNAcentral describes it as "partial 16S ribosomal RNA". It matches the Rfam family "Bacterial small subunit ribosomal RNA", at positions 1388 to 1482 of the family's 1533-position model. The record is from RNAcentral.
CACCGCCCGUCACAUCACGAAAGUGGGUUAUACUAGAAGUCUGCGGCCUGACCCGCAAGGGGAGGAGCGGCCCAAGGUAUGACUCAUGAUUGGGGUG